RNAcentral lists this long non-coding RNA (1001 nucleotides) under Lathyrus oleraceus (garden pea). Its description in RNAcentral is "Pisum sativum (pea) long non-coding RNA (PSAT_LNC040811)". The record is from RNAcentral. Lineage: Eukaryota; Viridiplantae; Streptophyta; Magnoliopsida; Fabales; Fabaceae.
CGAAAAGUAAAACUGAAAAUAUUACAAGUUAAAACUUAAAAUAUUACAAGGGUGAAGCAGUUACAGUGUAUGAAUAACAUAAAUAUGAGCGAAAAUAGGAAAUAAUAAUAAGGUUUGUUAAGGUUUAAGAAAAGGUUUAUGGUUUAGAGGAAAUAACACGGUUAAAGUUUUAGGUUUGAAAUUUAGAGUUUGUGGCGAAAUUGUCAGGGUUUAGGAAAAAUCAGGGUAGUUAGUUAUGAAAAAAAAUGUGCAGAUCUAAAUAUAUGUAUAUAAAAAAAAAAUGAAUUAAAAAAAAAACAACGGCGUUGCUAGCGCAAAAUUGCGAUCAUCGCAACUGGAUCGGAUAACACAAAUGUCACGCCUCAUACACGUAUAUGUGAAAACGGCGUAUUGACACGAUCCGAUCCGAAAACAUAAUCAAAUUAUAACAUAAAAUAGAAAUAUAUAUAUAUUUAACACACUAGUUACAUAUUAUAAAUUAUAUAUUAUAUGAUCCAUAUGCAUUUUUAUUAACAACAAAAUUAUUAUUAUAUUAUAUUAUAUAUUAUGAGACAUGUAAAACUUAUAUAAAAACAAACACAUCAAAUACAUAAUACAAUGAACCAAAUUAUUAUACAUGUUAUACUUAUGUGCAUAAAAAAGCAAAACGGCGAUAUCCUGAUAUAUUUAACCAAACCGCAUGUAUCUGGAAUACAUAACACAGUCACACAUAUGAACAUGUAUUUGAAACACAGUAACAAAUAUAUCAACAAAAUAGAUAAAGUAUAUAUCAUAUAUAAACUAUUACCAAACUGUGUGUACGAUAGUAUAGAUCAGCCACUCUCAGUUUCUCUUUUUUGUUCUGUCUUUUUGCCUCCCUCUAUCAGUCAUGCUAGUAAAUAUAUAUAGGAACAAAUUAGGUUAAUGAUAAUGGGCCUAAGUUUAUUUUGAAACCCAAUAUUAAAUUAAAAACUGAAUAAAGUUAAAUAAUUAAAAUAGUUAAAAUUAAAAUAAAAACUAAU